This 228-nucleotide long non-coding RNA is filed under the name Phoenix dactylifera (date palm). RNAcentral describes it as "long non-coding RNA (PDAC_LNC001166)". The record is from RNAcentral. Lineage: Eukaryota; Viridiplantae; Streptophyta; Magnoliopsida; Arecales; Arecaceae.
UUUAAGACAACAAUAUUAUCAGCAAUUGGAUGAAUUUCUUGACAGUUGAUAUUGAAUAGUUUUCUGUGCAAAUUCAACCUAGCAUUUUUUUAUCUGACCUGAACCCAUAUGGGAAUAGAAUAGGUGGGAUGAUGAUGGUCACAUAUAACGUAGGAUGUCUAAUGGCUAUUAAUGCAGUAUUAGAGAUUCUAGCAAUUGGCUAUCAUUUAAAAUUUAGUGAAGAAGUCA